Molecule: long non-coding RNA, 304 nt
Filed under: Mytilus galloprovincialis (Mediterranean mussel)
Lineage: Eukaryota; Metazoa; Mollusca; Bivalvia; Mytilida; Mytilidae
Source: RNAcentral
CGACUGUUUUCAUAUUUCUAACAAUAUUUAAUUAUAUGUGAUAAGGUUAUAUUUUUGCCAGGCUUUAAUGAAAACCAAAGAAAUCUAAAGUUUGGGGUGAAAUCCAUAGCACCCCAAUAAAAGUAAAUGGUCUGUACUGAAAUGUUUUUAAUGCAUAAAAAAAAAUUGGCAGAAUAGCUCCUAAGGACAUGUUUUAAUUGAAUUCACACAGGCCACACAGUUUGGGUAUAUUUAAUAUUGUAAGAAAGAGAAUAAUUGCAAUGAGUGGGCAGCCCCCUUUAUCCUAAAGGAGCAUACUCAUUGC